GUGAACGCUGGCGGUAGGCCUAACACAUGCAAGUCGCACGGCAGCACAGUAAGAGCUUGCUCUUACGGGUGGCGAGUGGCGGACGGGUGAGGAAUACAUCGGAAUCUACUUUUUCGUGGGGGAUAUCGUAGGGAAACUUACGCUAAUACCGCAUACGACCUACGGGUGAAAGCAGGGGAUCUUCGGACCUUGCGCGAUUGAAUGAGCCGAUGUCGGAUUAGCUAGUUGGCGGGGUAAAGGCCCACCAAGGCGACGAUCCGUAGCUGGUCUGAGAGGAUGAUCAGCCACACUGGAACUGAGACACGGUCCAGACUCCUACGGGAGGCAGCAGUGGGGAAUAUUGGACAAUGGGCGCAAGCCUGAUCCAGCCAUACCGCGUGGGUGAAGAAGGCCUUCGGGUUGUAAAGCCCUUUUGUUGGGAAAGAAAAGCAGCAGGUUAAUACCCCGCUGUUCUGACGGUACCCAAAGAAUAAGCACCGGCUAACUUCGUG
RNAcentral lists this ribosomal RNA (491 nucleotides) under uncultured bacterium. Its description in RNAcentral is "partial 16S ribosomal RNA". It matches the Rfam family "Bacterial small subunit ribosomal RNA", at positions 29 to 507 of the family's 1533-position model. The record is from RNAcentral.